AACGAACGCUGGCGGCAUGCCUAACACAUGCAAGUCGAACGAGACCUUCGGGUCUAGUGGCGCAAGGGUGCGUAACGCGUGGGAAUCUGCCCUUCGGUUGGGAAUAACUGAGAGAAAUUUCAGCUAAUACCUUAUAAUGUCUUCGGACCAAAGAUUUAUCGCCGAGGGAUGAGCCCGCGUAGGAUUAGGUAGUUGGUGGGGUAAUGGCCUACCAAGCCGACGAUCCUUAGCUGGUCUGAGAGGAUGAUCAGCCACACUGGGACUGAGACACGGCCCAGACUCCUACGGGAGGCAGCAGUGGGGAAUAUUGGACAAUGGGCGAAAGCCUGAUCCAGCAAUGCCGCGUGAGUGAUGAAGGCCUUAGGGUUGUAAAGCUCUUUUACCCGGGAUGAUAAUGACAGUACCGGGAGAAUAAGCGCCGGCUAACUCCGUG
This 433-nucleotide ribosomal RNA is filed under the name uncultured bacterium. RNAcentral's name for it is "partial 16S ribosomal RNA". It matches the Rfam family "Bacterial small subunit ribosomal RNA", at positions 29 to 507 of the family's 1533-position model. The record is from RNAcentral.